This 329-nucleotide unclassified non-coding RNA is filed under the name soil metagenome. RNAcentral's name for it is "partial contains small subunit ribosomal RNA, internal transcribed spacer 1, and 5.8S ribosomal RNA". The record is from RNAcentral.
UCUCCGUUGGUGAACCAGCGGAGGGAUCAUUAAAGAGUUGCAAAACUCCUUAAAUACCAUUGUGAAUUCGACCCGAACGUUGCCUCGGCGGAGGAGGUUGCUUGCAGCCUUUCUCCUAACCCGCUAGAAUUGAGCGUCGGAGGAGGCUUCUUGCAGGCAGCCUUUUCUCCUAGCUCGCUAGGGUGAGAUCACCGGAGCAGGCUGCUUGCAGCCUUUCUCUUAGGGUGGGAGCACCGCCAGAGGACUAUAUUAAACUCGUUUCUAUAAGGCCUCUCUGAGUAUCUUAUCAAAUUAAGUUAAAACUUUCAACAACGGAUCUCUUGGUUCUG